UUAGCAAUUGUGCAAUUUCAACACCAUCAAUAAAAAGAUAUUUGGCAGAAUAACGAGCGCCGCCCUCAAGUAGUGAUCAUAGUGUAAGCGCAGUAUUAUGAUCAGAAUAUUCGUAAGUAUGCAACUCUGUUUUUCAUACAUUUCGCAAAAUAUUCUACAGCAACAAGUGGGCGAAAAUAUAAAGGUUCCAUCAACAUAUGUGACUUGAAUGCUGAAAAGGAGCAGUUUGCUGAGACGCAGAAAAAACUGAAGUGACUACGACCAUCCCAUGUUGAAGCUAUCUGGGAUAUCGCCCACUGGAAGGAUAUCUAUAAUCCCCUCGUUGCCGCUGCUAAGAGAUGUUUGUGUCAUCUAAGCUUUAAGUGACCUAGAGAAGCCUAUUCGAAUUUGUGGGACGAAUGUUGGGCAAAGCGGUGCUUACUCUAAAGGAUAAAUUGAAGGAGCUAAAAGUGCAUUCGGUGCUAGAAAUCAACAUCAAGUUAGGGCGGCACAAAAAGCGGUCGCCCAUGCAUGCGCGAUUCGUAGGAGAAAUUCGCGUGUGCUAUCUAAUUUAGAGUCUUGAGAGUAUGACACGUCGCAUCACCAAACUAAA
Molecule: long non-coding RNA, 592 nt
Organism: Anastrepha obliqua
Lineage: Eukaryota; Metazoa; Arthropoda; Insecta; Diptera; Tephritidae
Exons: 4
Source: RefSeq, a predicted model, not a curated record